UAGUAGACAUUCUCCGAUCUUUGGUGAUUCAGCUUCAAUGAUUGGCUACAGGUUUCUUUCAUAAAGCUAGGUUACCAAAGCUCGGCGUCUUGAUCUAC
Molecule: non-coding RNA, 98 nt
Organism: Caenorhabditis elegans
Lineage: Eukaryota; Metazoa; Nematoda; Chromadorea; Rhabditida; Rhabditidae
Gene: mir-79
Product: pre-microRNA mir-79
Exons: 1
Source: RefSeq